This is a non-coding RNA of Phenylobacterium sp. SCN 70-31, 52 nucleotides long. NCBI's taxonomy places the organism in Bacteria, Pseudomonadati, Pseudomonadota, Alphaproteobacteria, Caulobacterales, Caulobacteraceae. The record is from Rfam.
UCGGGCUUCCGCGGAUCGCCCGACUAGACGGGUGCGCCCGUCCAAGAUCCGC